Molecule: ribosomal RNA, 251 nt
Filed under: uncultured bacterium
Lineage: Bacteria
Description: partial 16S ribosomal RNA
Rfam family: Bacterial small subunit ribosomal RNA
Source: RNAcentral
CACGUAGGGCGCGAGCGUGUCCGGAAUUAUUGGGCGUAAAGAGCUCGUAGGCGGCCUGUUGCGUCCGCUGUGAAAGCCCGGGGCUUAACCCCGGGUCGCAGUGGAUACGGGCAGGCUAGAGGUAGGUAGGGGAGAAUGGAAUUCCCGGUGUAGCGGUGAAAUGCGCAGAUAUCGGGAGGAACACCGGUGGCGAAGGCGGUUCUCUGGGCCUUACCUGACGCUGAGGAGCGAAAGCGUGGGGAGCGAACAGG